AUCCUCGGAGGCGGAGUGAUACUCGCGUUCCUUUGCGCUCCCUGCGUCGCCAGGAGCAGAAUUUGAAUCUGUAAUUUACCGAGGCGAUUUAUCAAUACCGAUUUAAUCCGCUGUGUAUUCAGUCGUAACAGAGGAAUGUGCGGAUUAGAUGAUUUAUUGAAAUGACGAUGCAUAUGAAUGAGGCUAAACGUACAAAAGGUGUGUCUGAAAUUUUGUACGGUGUAUAUAUAGUUUCGUAUACGUACUGCGAAGGAGGAUUGACAGAUUUCGUACAACUAUUGGUUCAAAGAAGUGUUUUAUAAUCCGCCAGCGAGGUUUCCGUGCACGUUCUAGGAGCUUAUUUGUAAGGGAAUAAGAUUAAACUUCGUCUGUCCUCCGAUUGUAAAAAUUAGAAAAAUAUUUUGAAACUCGACUUGCGUAAAUAUGAAUAUGAUAUACGUAGAAUGGCUGUAACUCUUAGUAAUCUUAAAAGAACUCGAAAAUGAAGCAGGUAAAUAAAAAUGAUGGUAGCAUCGAUGUAAGAGUAGACAUGAUAAUCGAUAAAUUGAUUUCAUUGACAUUGGACUUGGAAGAAUUCGAAGUUGAACAAAAGGGGUCGUAGAUCUUUCAUUUUAGAUUGACAGUCAAAACUAUUUUUUUAAAAAGGUCCAGAAUCAUCUCGUUUUAAUAUACACUUUUAUUACAUAUUUACAAAUAAGUUCAUCGUGUAAAUAGCAUUUAAAAACAGUUUGUAUAAUGAUUAAUAAAAAACAUUGUUAAAAAUACAAUAGAAAAAAUACAAUUAAAUUAAAGCAUAGAAUUUAAGCGUACGCGAACGUAAUGACGAUAAUUCAACCCUCGUCCUCCCGACGAGCCCUUGCGAAACCACGUUAGAGUCGCUCUUUAAAGUUAGAUGUAAAUGUCAAUUAUAAACAUGAAUAAACAAUUAUAAAAUAUCUCAUGUAUUUUAAUCGUAUUCUCUUUUUACAGUAGACGUUUUACGCUUUAUAGUACAUCAUCGUUUACGAACAUAUCGAUGUAUUACUACGUGAAACUUAAAUCGGAGAAGGGAAA
Molecule: long non-coding RNA, 1053 nt
Organism: Ceratina calcarata
Lineage: Eukaryota; Metazoa; Arthropoda; Insecta; Hymenoptera; Apidae
Exons: 4
Source: RefSeq, a predicted model, not a curated record